GUUCAUUCCUGGAAGUGUACUAAAAUUGGAACAACACAGAAAAAGUUAGCAUGGUCACUGCGCAAGGACGAUACGGAAAUUCGAGAAGAGCUGCAAAUUUUU
This 102-nucleotide small nuclear RNA is filed under the name Ancylostoma ceylanicum. Lineage: Eukaryota; Metazoa; Nematoda; Chromadorea; Rhabditida; Ancylostomatidae. The record is from RNAcentral.